UUUAAGAACAAUCUUUCACACUGUGAUAAACUUUCUCAUGCUAAAACACAUGCACAGACAGACAAACAACAUGCUUUCCAUGUGGCUGGAAAUAGCCCUCCAUGCCCUUGCUCCUCAUUAAUGAAGGAUAUUCCAUCUUCCCCUGCUCUGCUCAUCUUCUUCAGCUGGCUGUUCCAUAAUCAUUUCCAUGACAGUUUAUGAUGAUGUCAUAAGCAUGACGAUUUAAGAAUAAGAGUUCUACUUUGGUAGACUUAGGUAGCUUUGAGUAUAAUUAUCUUCAGUAAUAAUAGAGGAAACAGGAGAUUAGAGGCCAAGAAUCAGAAUAUUAGCCAGUUGCCAUUCUCUAGGAGGAGCUGAUCUGUUGUACCUUCUAUGCAAAUAAUGAGGCAGCCAGGUCAGGAUGAUAAGAACACACACAAAAAUCCAGCAGCAGCCAAAGGGCAGUGAGACCAGCUAUGCAGCAGGACUAGCCUUUCUGCCAGCAGAUUACUGCAAGAGGCAGUGCUAAGAAGGAUGAGCUACUGAAGUUUCCUACGAGCUCCCUUUUCCGUGACCUAUAUCGGAAGGUCAUCCUGUGCUGGACAUCUUGGACACUAUCACAGGGUUAGGAGAGCAGCCAGUUGGAAGACUAAGUGGAAAACCUGCCUUGAAAAAUAAUCACUGACUAAUUUUAUGUCACGAGUAUUUGGGGGUAGGAAAAUACACACUGUGCACAUGAUUUGGGUGUCCUCUCUCUACAAGCUGGUUUUGUGGUGUCAGAAAGCUUGAAUAAUUUGUCAAGAAACCUGAAGUGGAAGAUUCCCAUAUCAGGUCAGGUGACAAACUAUCGUAUUAUGUCAGGUGAUAGACUUGGAGACGUGGGACAAACCUACGUAGCCCCUUUCCCCUCCAAGUGUCACACCUGGCCAUUAAAGGUCGGGUCAGAAUGGGUCCAAAGGCAUCCAGUUGUUCAGGAAUGCUGUCCCAGUGGCUGACCCCCAGCUGCUGCCCCCCGGGAUGUUGUUCCAAGCUAGCUUCCAGGUUGAGAUGCCACAGGUUGGUGUGGGCUGGGGAAGUGUUGGGUGGGGUGAAAGGGGGAUCAUGAGCUUGUUUUUGUAUGAGAUUUGAUGCAUCUGAGAGUAUGAAGCCUUGGCUAUCAGUGCUGACGUCAUGGCCAAAUU
Non-coding RNA from Meleagris gallopavo (turkey), 1160 nucleotides. Lineage: Eukaryota; Metazoa; Chordata; Aves; Galliformes; Phasianidae. The record is from RefSeq and is a predicted model, not a curated record.